This 8454-nucleotide long non-coding RNA is filed under the name Gossypium barbadense (sea-island cotton). RNAcentral describes it as "long non-coding RNA (GBAR_LNC008767)". The record is from RNAcentral. Lineage: Eukaryota; Viridiplantae; Streptophyta; Magnoliopsida; Malvales; Malvaceae.
UUCAUACUUAACUAUAACAAAAAAGAGGAAACCUAAUCUUAUCCUAUACCAGUCAAAUCGACAGCUGGAUACCAUUAGUCAAUGUCCGUUUACAUCACCGACUCAACUUUAAUGAUAGCAGUUUUCAAAGUAUCUUUUAAUUUUUUGCUACCCAUUUCUAAAGGAGUUUCAUCUUCUCUUUUCUCUCAAUCUGGCUGCCUUGGCCGAAGUUUCUCCUGGCAAACGUAAUCUGGAACUCCUCCCAAUAGGUAAUGGCUUUCUCCCCUCUUCAGAGCCUCUUUCGCAAGAACAUGGGCAUAUGUAUUCUCUUUUUUAGGGAUAAACUGAAACCCUAUCUCUUGAAAUUUAACUUUUUUGUUUUGGAUAUCUCUGAUGAGUGCUCCAAUGGCUGAUUUGUCAAGAUCUGUACUUUGGCAUUUCUUUAUAAUCUCCCAUUAUUUCCAGUUUGUUUAAGCUCAUAUAAAUUCCUAAUCUCAUGGCUUGUAAUCCUGCAUGUGCUUCCGUAGCAAACGAAAUUGCUAUAUCGGAGUGAAUGACCGUCUUAGAUGCUAAGAUCUCGCCCCCCACAUCUCGUACAAUCAAACCCGAAGCAUAUUUGAAGGAUUGCUGGUCAAAGGCUGCAUCAAAAUAGAUUGUUACCCUUGUUCUUCGAUUAACAUGUUGAAGGCCUUUGCCAGCCUGAAAGGUGAGUUUCUUUUUUUUUAUUCCAUCCAACUCAGAGAUGUAACUGUAUAUUUGCUUCAAAAUGUAUCUUCCUGUCACAUUUUUUCUUUCAUACAGUAACCGAUUUCUAUUGGACCAGAUUAGCCAAAGCCCGCAACAGAAAAGUCAACAUUGUUCACUAAUCCCUCGACUAAAGACCUAGGUAAGCUAUUCCCACAUACUGUGAAUAUCGUUGUUAAGAACCUAGGAAAGAUAUAAGUAAAUCCAAACAUCCAUUAUAGGAUACUGUCGAAAAAUAUGGUUACUAUCUUCCUUAUAUUGACGACACCGAGGGCAUUGAGCAUCCAUCGCCACUUUCUUAUGCUUAAGGUUGACGAGUAGGAAUAAAAUUCCAGGAGAUUCUCCAUACUGGUAUUGUAACUUUUGAGGGGAUGUAUAAAUUCCAUAGUUUCCUGUAGAAAUUUUUUGUUUCGGCUUGUAUAAUAUAAUUACUAGGACCAAGUUAGUCUCCUGUAAUAGUUUAUAGGCACUUCUGAGAGUUCGCCUCUCCACACUUGAAAAUUGUCAUAUGUUAUCUCCGCCAGAGGAAUCUGCAUGAUUUUUUUUUGCAAUAUCUGUAUGAAAGGUAUUCAUAAUAACAUCUGUUUUCCAGGUCUUGUCAAUAGCCUCAUUUAAAUCCGAUACUAACUUGAUGUUUUCAUUGUUGUCUUGGUUCUGUAAUCUGUCUGCCUCUUCUUCCGAAAUUCAUAAAUCAUCCCAAACGAAAAUUUGAUCCCCCGUUCCAACCCUCCAGCAUAGACCUUUCUACAGAAGUCCUCUUGUUGCCCAUACAUUUUUCCAGGUAAGCGAAGGUAAAUUCCCUAACCUAGCAUUAUAGAAAUUCGAGUUAGGAUAAUAUUUUGCCUUCAAGACACGGGCUAAUAAAGAAUUUGGAAAAUUAAUAAGACGCCAACCCUGCUUUGCUAAUAACACUAUGUUAAAUUUUUCAAAAUUUCGAAAAUCAAGACCACCAUCUUAUUUUAACGAGCAUAGUUCCUGCCAAGCACACCAAUGGAUGCCUUUUUUAUCUCGACCUUUUUGCCACUAAAAUUUAGCUAUAGUACCUUCCAAAUCAGCACAUAAAGAUUUAGGGAGUAAAAAACAAGCCAUAGUAUAAAUUGGAAUGGAUUGUAGUAUAGCCUUUAUGAAAACCUUUUUUCCUCCUUAAGAGAGAUGCCUUAUACUCCAGUUAUCAAUUCGUUGUUCAAAUUUGUCCUUUCAAGACUUGAAAAAACGAUUUCUUGUUUCUUCCCACCAUAUUAGGGAGACCAAGGUACCGUUUUGAGUUAUUUGAUCUACGCACUCCAAGUACAUUAGAAACUAUUAUUUUUUCCCCAUCCUACAUAUUAGUACCGAAAAAUACUGUUCCCUUAUCAAAGUUAACACAAUAAUCUGAACAAAUCUCAUAUUCUUUCAAAAUCUGCUUUAGAGAAUGUGUUCCUCUUUCAGUAUCAUCUGUUUGCUUGUACUCUUCUUAGUAUAUUUUCUUUUAUUGCAAGCCUCAUAAGACUAGAGAGGCCUUCCCCACAAAAUAAAAAUAGAAACGGACUCAAGGGAUCUCCCUGUCUUAAUCCUCUAGUCGGAUGAAAAAUUUCCCCAAUGUGUCCAUUGAAAACCACCGAGUACGAUAUUGUAGAUGCACAUUUCAUUAAAGAAUCAACCCAUCUAGAAUCAAAACCCAUUCUCUUCAUUAUUUCUUCCACAAAAUUUCAUUCAACCCUGUUGUAUGCUUUGUUCAUAUCUAAUUUUACCACCAUAAACCCUUUUUUCCCCACCUUCUUGUGCUUUAAUGUGUGUAAAAUUUCAUAAGCCAGUAACACAUUAUAAAAAAUCAAUCUCCCAGGUACAAAAGCACUUUGUGCUAAAUCAAUACAUUUAUCAACCACUACCCGAAGACGAUUAGCAAUGACUUUAGCUAUCAAUUUAUAAAGCACAUUACAUAAGCUAAUUGGUCUAAAUUGAGUAAUACUAGAAGGGUUUGAAUUUUUCAGUAUUAGCAUAAUAUUUGUUUUAUUGAUCGAAUUUAUAUCCAUAUCUUCAUUCAGUCAUUGAAGACAAAAGGCUGAAAUAUCUUCUCCGAUGAUCGGCCAACACUUUGAUAAAAUAAGGCCGGAAAAUCGUUCUCUCCUGGUGUUUUUGUGGGACCUAAUUCUGAUAAUGCUUCUUGUAUCUCCUCCUUAGUGUAACUCACUUUUAGCCUAAAAUUGUCUUCAUCAGAAAUACAACAAUCGAUCCCUGACAAAAUAUGUACAUAAUUUCCUUACCUCCCAGCUGAAAAUAAUCUCUGAAAAUACGAUCUAGCAAUUUCUUCCAUUUCCCUAACCUUUUCCUUCUCCCUACCAUUAUCAAACUGCAUUUUGCGAAUAAAAUUUCUUCUUCUCCUCUGUGUCGCUUGCUUAUGAAAAAACGUGGUAUUUCUAUCUCCAAAUUUCAGCUAGUUUACUCGAGCUCUCUAUUCCCAGUAGCACUCAUCAUUCUUAAUCUCAAAAUUUAGUUGUAUCUUUGUGUCAGUGAGUUCUGGCAAGUUUUCAUCAUUUCUAUCGGAUUCCAACAAUUUUGUCAAUUUAGAAGUUAAUGCCUCCUUUUUUAUUUUCAUGCUGCACCGAAUUUGAUUAGCCCACCUCUCUAAGCCUUUCUUCAUACUUUCUAACUUGCUCAGUAGAUCUCCUGUGGAAUUCUCCCAAAUGUACCUAACCUCCUCAACAAAUGUUCCCUCCAAAACCCCCAAUCUUCAAACUUAAAACUUUUAUUAAAUUGCCCUUUAACUUCACGUUCUGUAGUAAUGAAUACAGGACAAUGGUUUGAAAAAGAAUGAAGAAGGUGUUGAAUUAAGGAAUCUGAAAAUAAAGAUAUCCAUUCUUCAGUGGCCACUCCUCUAUCUAAUCUUUCUUGAAUGUUCGUUUUCGACAAAUUUCCUCUCCCUAAGUGAGCCAGUUUCCUGAAUAACCCAUAUAAACUAGAUUACAAUCUUCCAAUGCCUUUUGAAAAGCUUUUAUUUGUCUCUCCUCUCGAGGUAAGCCUCCAUUCUUUUCAAAACCAUACAUAAUUUCAUUAAAGUCCCUACAAACUAGCCAUGGAGACUCUCCAUCAUUAUGUAAGUGUCCUAAAAGAUGCUAUGAUUCAUUCUUGUCCUGUGUGUAGGGAGAACCACAAAAACCAGUAAAUCUCCACUUGUUUCUAUCAUCUGUAUCUUCGAUUAUCACAUCAAUAUGUCAGUUUGAAAAACUCUGGAGCGUAAUAUUAACAUCCCCACGCCAUGCUAAACAUAAUCCUCAUCUAAAACCAAUCGAUUCAACAUUGAUACCAUUAUGAAAACCACAACUCCUUUGAACUCUUUCCAUCUGACUUCUGUUAAUUUUUGUCUCCAUGAAGAAGACCAUAUGAGGAUUGUAUAACUUCAGCAAAUGCCGAAGUCUUCGAAAUGCCUGUGUAUUCUCCAAUCCAUGGGCAUUCGAACUUAAGAUUUUUAUUGCGCCCAGUCGGCUUGCCUCUUGGCAGUCGCCGAUGAUAAAUGAUUAAUUUCCAACAACCUUCUAUUUUUAACCACCAUAAUGUUGUUUUCUUCAAUCUCCCCCCAGCUCUCUUUUCCCUCUCCUCUACUAUUAACACAUCAUCUUCUAGAUCAUGAUCCAUUGCAGUUUGAGCUUGACCUGUCAAUAAAUUUUCCUUCAUUGGCGUGAAGAGAACGUUCUUCCUUCCAAAUUAAAACCUAAAAUAGGGUCAAUAACCUUGUAAUACCCUUGUUUUUUGCCUACUCCCCACCCACUGUUGCCUUGUGUUCGUUCGUCUGUGCUGUUUCCACCUAGUACUCCUUCUCCUUCCUCACGUAGCCAAACUCUAUUCAUUGCUUAGGCUCUUCGAGAUUGUGCUCGCAAUGAUUAGUCCCAACCCAUCUAAGUGAUUUCUACCCCUAAUGCCACAUUUGUUUCACAAAAAGAGUCACUAUGACCUAAACGACCACAAUAGAAACAAAAAAGGGAAAUCUUUCAUACUUAAAUCUGACAUAUGAGUAUUUCCCACAAAACAUAACUUGUUUCUUCCUUUUAAGAGGACGCCGAAUAUCUAUUUGGACUUGUAUUCUCAUAAAUUUUGAUUUUCUUUCCCCAGAUUCGAACCAUCAUACUCCAUAAAAUUUCCUAUGAAAUUACCCAAUUGUAUAGCCAGAUUAUCAAAGAAAAAAACCUAUGAGAAUAGCAUGAAUUUGUACCCAGAAAGGUGUUAAAAUUAAAGGGACUUUUAAUGGGUUAUCCCCCACUUGCAGCUUGUAUAACACCAAUAAAUGAUUAUUAAAAGUCCAUGGUGAUCCCUUCAAAACCCUUUCUAUAUUUAUAACAUGAAAAAAUUGAAAUAAAUACCUUUUCUCCCCCAGAUCUCGAAUUUGAACAUCCCGAACAAGGUGCCAUAAGUUAGCCAUAGUGUUUUUCAUUGCUAGGAAGUGAAUAAUACUGGUCGUUAAAAAACACUCCACCAAUCUAAAGGCCCCUUUUUCUCUUUUCGUAUUCGGAUAUACUUGUAUUUGUAAAAUUGCUUCUUCUUCUUCAUUAAGCGUUAAUCUAGCAAAGUCAGUUUCCAUGGAUGCAGAUAAAUUUCAAGAAGCGUGAAAAUCCUUUUCUAAAGACUUAAAUAGGACUUUAAAUAUGGCUGCAGCUGACAAAAAACAGAAAACUCAAUAAAAACCUAAAAACUUGCCAGAGAGAGCAGACAGUUGCAUACUAAGGUAGCAGACUCUUUAGCAUGUAUUUUUUAGACAAGUACAAUACAAUCAAAAUACGUUAUAAAUAAAUAUCCAAGCAACCAUAAAAUAAAAUCAAAGUAAUACAGUACAAAUAGACUAAAACCAAAACAAUCUGGACUAAAACUCAUACAGAGCAAUUACAUAUAGUGGAUUUCAAACUUAAAAACUUUAAGUAUUCAAGAACCCGAGUCCAUUUUUAUUAACUGUGCUAAGGCUUUAUUGGCUCAUAACAAAUUUUUUUGUUUGUUUUUGUUUAUCAAAAAAUUAUUUGCUCAACAUAGCUUAAAUUAAUUUAUUUAUUGAAUUUUCUAAUUAGAUACCUCUAACAAGUGAGUCUUGCCUCAUAAAAAUAGAAUAAAAGUUUAAAUUGUGAAAAAUGCAAUUUUUAAAGACGCUCCUAAGUCCUGAGUCGAAAAGAAUUAGUUUAAAAUGGCUCGAGAUACCUUGGGUCUUCACAAAAACUAGCAAGGUAAAGGGCAUUGAAGCAGUCAAUGUAUGGGCAGAUUUACCAAGUAAUUUCCAUCAUUGCCUAUUUUGCUAUAUCCAAAGCAUACGAUGAAUCUGUACGUUAGAACAGGCUGGCCAGCCAGAAUGCUAGUUGCUUGUGGCUUUGCAUAACCAAAACUUCAGGAAACUAGUUUAGCAUUGUUGAUACGACAAAUCAACAAAGAGAAAAAGGUUGGAAGAGGUGAUCGACGGUUCACCCUUGAAAGGUAGAAAGCCGUCGUAAUGUAAUGAAGUGGUGGAAGAAGGUUGAAAGGAGGAGAGAAUCAAAACUUAGGUGAGAGUUCAUAUAGAGGUGCCACAUGUAAGGAUCAUGUUGGCUGUAAUGCCAGAUCUUGUUUCCAAAUAAAAGUAACAAUAUAACCCUAUAUAUUAGUGAUGUGACAUAAUAAGAUGGCUUAACAAACAAUGAUUGUCCCAUCACAAUUGGCAGAGGUAGUCUAUGACGAAGGUGCGCUCAAUGAUAUGACACGUGGAGGUGUUGCAGAAGUAGGUGUAACAAGCCGCAGAGGGACCAUGAACCGCUUAAAUUGUCUAGUGAAAUUCUAUCUGACGCCUGCAGAUUUGUUGCAAGGCUUAUUUCCUUUUAUUCAAUAUUUGUAAGACAAUUCUGCUAUCAUAUCAUCAGAUACAGUGAGCAAGUAUUGAGAAUGAAUGCAUUAGAAAAAGAAGAAACCAACAAAGGAUCUUAAUAACAAAUUUUUUUUCGAUCAUCUAUCAAAUAAUUCAUAGUAGCCAGAAAAGUUUGAGUUCUCUCUGCUUACAAUCGUACAAAGAAAACACAGAGCACCCUUACCUUAAGGGUUUCUCUUUAGAUCAAAAGCAACUGAACACCUUUCCGAUUUUGAAAUAUAUAAAUACACCAAGCAACCUUACCGGAUUCUUGAAUAUUUGUAGCAUAAACCAAUGCCGGCCUAGUCAUCUCUUCUCUUACUCUCAGCACACACCAGUAUUAGGCCAAUGGCUGGUUAUUGAACCAUGUGGUCCUUUUGGUUGUAGUUUAUCAAACUCGCAUUAUGAGCCAAUGUUACCAAGCUUUGAACAGCAGUGUAAAGAUUCAUUUCGACCAUGAAUUCCACCCCAAAGCACUAAACCAUACAGCGGAAGAGUAAAACAAAUAUCUGAGGCUCGAUUGACAGGAUAGUCCAAACCAACAUCUGAUUUUAGUGCAUUUGCUUCGUUUCUUUCAUUCCUCCUAAAACAUGGGAAGUAUUGGGCAAAUUUGGAAAAUUCAUACAAGACAAAGCUGAAGAUCAAUAGCAUGCUCGCAAUAAUACUACUGUUUCUUUUGUUUUCGAUAGCAUGCUCGCAAUAAUACUACUGUUUCUUUUGUUUUCGACUUGCUUUUUUUGGAUGAGUUGUUCCUUUACUUCUAUAAUCAUUUUGAGCCUGGAUCCAGUCAGAGUGAUACUUGUCAUCAUACGGAACAACCUUCCCAUCAAUGAACGGUUCUCCUGUAAAAUAACCACAAUGCACGUUAACACUCAACUGUUGUCAUAAAGGCAGGAGGAAUUGCAUGCGUGUGACCUUAAUAGAAAAUGGAGGAAGAAAUGCAUGCAUAUUAGAAUAGCAGAACAAAUGGAAACUCAUACUAAUCUGUCAAGAAAACCAUCCAACACAAAGUGUAUGCCAUUCAGCUCUAUCAACUGCUGCGCGUAAAAAAUUCUUCUACUGCCACCAUUUAUGUUAACUGAUAAUGAUUGCUAAGAAAAUAGAACUUAACACCUAAGAAGAAUGAGGAAAACAACAGUAAGCAUCAACAGUUUACUUCCGUAAUGUGAAAUGGAACACUUUGGGGCACAUGAACCACCACACUUCGAUGUCUCAAGGAUUCCCAUCUUCUUCUUUAAUAGCAACAGCAAUACCAACAAGUCCUAAUAGCUGUUAAGUAAUCAACUAGAGAAGCAUCAUCAUCAAUGCUUAAUGACAUUCACUCUACUGCCUUCCCAUUUGUCUUCCAAAAGUACUUUUUAUCAUCCUCAAAAGAAACGAAGUGAAAUUAUUAGUCAUUUUUUUCCCAGCAAUCAAGCAUAAGCAGGACCGGAGUAAUACAAUAGCUUAAUAACAGAGUAAUAAAGCAAAUGAGAAGCAAAGACACUGGAAAGCUAAAACUAACCUCCAUAGCUAUUAUCACCAGGGUCCCCCGAAUAAGAAUCUGGUAAAACCCAUUUCACAUUAGGCAGAGCUGCAACCAACCAACACAAUUCUGUAUUUACUUUACAAACUUGAAAAAGAACGAAUUUGCAAAGGAAAGAAAGACUCACUUUUAAUCUUAAAAACCAAAUCUUCUGGUACUUUGCAACCAAAUGCAUAAUAAUACUUGGUGGAAACAGAGUAUAUAGACUUCUUGGCAUCCUCUUCACUGCGUAUUAAUAGCAAAAAUAUAAAACAAAAAUGAAAAAAUACCCAUUUUAGGACUGCAAAAAGGGGAAAAAGGAGUACGGAUUUUGACCUUCCCAAAGCCAUUGCUAGGGUUUUAAUGUAGGUGUUAACGAUCUCAUCUCGAAGUGGGU